AUAAUCGUAAUAUUAUAAUAGGUUCGCCGGGGAUAACAGGUUAUUGAAUUCCAAGAGACUCUUAUCUAAGGAUUCUGUUGGCACCUCCAUGUCGGCUCAUCAUUUGCAUCCA
This 112-nucleotide ribosomal RNA is filed under the name Hematodinium sp. RNAcentral describes it as "partial large subunit ribosomal RNA". Lineage: Eukaryota; Dinophyceae; Syndiniales; Syndiniaceae. The record is from RNAcentral.